RNAcentral lists this ribosomal RNA (2241 nucleotides) under Salmonella enterica subsp. enterica serovar Aberdeen. Its description in RNAcentral is "bacterial LSU rRNA". It matches the Rfam family "Bacterial large subunit ribosomal RNA", at positions 563 to 2912 of the family's 2925-position model. Lineage: Bacteria; Pseudomonadati; Pseudomonadota; Gammaproteobacteria; Enterobacterales; Enterobacteriaceae. The record is from RNAcentral.
AAAUGAUGCAGAGGGGGCUUAGUGGUGGUGUGACUGCGUACCUUUUGUAUAAUGGGUCAGCGACUUAUAUUCUGUAGCAAGGUUAACCGAAUAGGGGAGCCGGAGGGAAACCGAGUCUUAAUUGGGCGUUAAGUUGCAGGGUAUAGACCCGAAACCCGGUGAUCUAGCCAUGGGCAGGUUGAAGGUUGGGUAACACUAACUGGAGGACCGAACCGACUAAUGUUGAAAAAUUAGCGGAUGACCUGUGGCUGGGGGUGAAAGGCCAAUCAAACCGGGAGAUAGCUGGUUCUCCCCGAAAGCUAUUUAGGUAGCGCCUCGUGAAUUCAUCUCCGGGGGUAGAGCACUGUUUCGGCUAGGGGGCCAUCCCGGCUUACCAACCCGAUGCAAACUGCGAAUACCGGAGAAUGUUAUCACGGGAGACACACGGCGGGUGCUAACGUCCGUCGUGAAGAGGGAAACAACCCAGACCGCCAGCUAAGGUCCCAAAGUCAUGGUUAAGUGGGAAACGAUGUGGGAAGGCCCAGACAGCCAGGAUGUUGGCUUAGAAGCAGCCAUCAUUUAAAGAAAGCGUAAUAGCUCACUGGUCGAGUCGGCCUGCGCGGAAGAUGUAACGGGGCUAAACCAUGCACCGAAGCUGCGGCAGCGACGCUGCUGGAGGUAUCAGAAGUGCGAAUGCUGACAUAAGUAACGAUAAAGCGGGUGAAAAGCCCGCUCGCCGGAAGACCAAGGGUUCCUGUCCAACGUUAAUCGGGGCAGGGUGAGUCGACCCCUAAGGCGAGGCCGAAAGGCGUAGUCGAUGGGAAACGGGUUAAUAUUCCCGUACUUGGUGUUACUGCGAAGGGGGGACGGAGAAGGCUAUGUUGGCCGGGCGACGGUUGUCCCGGUUUAAGCGUGUAGGUGUGUGUUCCAGGUAAAUCCGGUUCACUUUAACACUGAGGCGUGANNAUCGUACCCCAAACCGACACAGGUGGUCAGGUAGAGAAUACCAAGGCGCUUGAGAGAACUCGGGUGAAGGAACUAGGCAAAAUGGUGCCGUAACUUCGGGAGAAGGCACGCUGACAUGUAGGUGAAGUGAUUUACUCAUGGAGCUGAAGUCAGUCGAAGAUACCAGCUGGCUGCAACUGUUUAUUAAAAACACAGCACUGUGCAAACACGAAAGUGGACGUAUACGGUGUGACGCCUGCCCGGUGCCGGAAGGUUAAUUGAUGGGGUCAGCGCAAGCGAAGCUCCUGAUCGAAGCCCCGGUAAACGGCGGCCGUAACUAUAACGGUCCUAAGGUAGCGAAAUUCCUUGUCGGGUAAGUUCCGACCUGCACGAAUGGCGUAAUGAUGGCCAGGCUGUCUCCACCCGAGACUCAGUGAAAUUGAACUCGCUGUGAAGAUGCAGUGUACCCGCGGCAAGACGGAAAGACCCCGUGAACCUUUACUAUAGCUUGACACUGAACAUUGAGCCUUGAUGUGUAGGAUAGGUGGGAGGCUUUGAAGUGUGGACGCCAGUCUGCAUGGAGCCGACCUUGAAAUACCACCCUUUAAUGUUUGAUGUUCUAACGUGGACCCGUAAUCCGGGUUGCGGACAGUGUCUGGUGGGUAGUUUGACUGGGGCGGUCUCCUCCUAAAGAGUAACGGAGGAGCACGAAGGUUGGCUAAUCCUGGUCGGACAUCAGGAGGUUAGUGCAAUGGCAUAAGCCAGCUUGACUGCGAGCGUGACGGCGCGAGCAGGUGCGAAAGCAGGUCAUAGUGAUCCGGUGGUUCUGAAUGGAAGGGCCAUCGCUCAACGGAUAAAAGGUACUCCGGGGAUAACAGGCUGAUACCGCCCAAGAGUUCAUAUCGACGGCGGUGUUUGGCACCUCGAUGUCGGCUCAUCACAUCCUGGGGCUGAAGUAGGUCCCAAGGGUAUGGCUGUUCGCCAUUUAAAGUGGUACGCGAGCUGGGUUUAGAACGUCGUGAGACAGUUCGGUCCCUAUCUGCCGUGGGCGCUGGAGAACUGAGGGGGGCUGCUCCUAGUACGAGAGGACCGGAGUGGACGCAUCACUGGUGUUCGGGUUGUCAUGCCAAUGGCACUGCCCGGUAGCUAAAUGCGGAAGAGAUAAGUGCUGAAAGCAUCUAAGCACGAAACUUGCCCCGAGAUGAGUUCUCCCUGAGACUUUAGGUCUCCUGAAGGAACGUUGAAGACGACGACGUUGAUAGGCCGGGUGUGUAAGCGCAGCGAUGCGUUGAGCUAACCGGUACUAAUGAACCGUGA